This 492-nucleotide ribosomal RNA is filed under the name uncultured bacterium. Its description in RNAcentral is "partial 16S ribosomal RNA". It matches the Rfam family "Bacterial small subunit ribosomal RNA", at positions 29 to 507 of the family's 1533-position model. The record is from RNAcentral.
AGUGAACGCUGGCGGUAGGCCUAACACAUGCAAGUCGAACGGCAGCACAGUAAGAGCUUGCUCUUACGGGUGGCGAGUGGCGGACGGGUGAGGAAUACAUCGGAAUCUACUUUUUCGUGGCGGAUAACGUAGGGAAACUUACGCUAAUACCGCAUACGACCUACGGGUUAAAGCAGGGGAUCUUCGGACCUUGCGCGAUUGAAUGAGCCGAUGUCGGAUUAGCUAGUUGGCGGGGUAAAGGCCCACCAAGGCGACGAUCCGUAGCUGGUCUGAGAGGAUGAUCAGGCACACUGGAACUGAGACACGGUCCAGACUCCUACGGGAGGCAGCGGUGGGGAAUAUUGGACAAUGGGCGCGAGCCUGAUCCAGACAUACCGAGUGGGUGAAGAAGGCCUGCGGGUUGUAAAGCCAUUUUGUUGGGAAAGAAAAGCAGCAGGUUAAUACCCCGCUGUUCUGACGGUACCCAAAGAAUAAGCACCGGCUAACUUCGUG